Molecule: ribosomal RNA, 433 nt
Filed under: uncultured bacterium
Lineage: Bacteria
Description: partial 16S ribosomal RNA
Rfam family: Bacterial small subunit ribosomal RNA
Source: RNAcentral
GGUGAACGUUGGCGGUGCGUCUAAUACAUGCAAGUCGAGCGAGGCUUCGAGCCGAGCGGCCGACGGCUGAGUAACACGUUGGUAACUAUCUCAAACUCAUGGAUAACGCCGAGAAAUCGGUGCUAAUACCGGAUGGUUCCGUAAUGGUAAAGUUUUUACGGUUUGAGAGGUGCCUGCGUCCUAUCAGGUAGUUGGUGAGGUAACGGCUCACCAAGCCUAUGACGGGUAACUGGUCUGAGAGGAUGACCAGUCAGAGGGAAACUGAGACACGGUUCCCACUUCUACGGAAGGCAGCAGUAAAGAAUCUUCCACAAUGGACGAAAUUAUGAUGGAGCGACACCGCGUGAAGGAUGAAGGCACUUGGGUCGUAAACUGCUUUUUUGGGGGAAAAAUUCUGAUUGUACCCUAAGAAUAAGCACCGGCAAAUCACGUG